Molecule: ribosomal RNA, 498 nt
Filed under: uncultured bacterium
Lineage: Bacteria
Description: partial 16S ribosomal RNA
Rfam family: Bacterial small subunit ribosomal RNA
Source: RNAcentral
GAUGAACGCUGGCGGCAUGCCUAAUACAUGCAAGUCGAACGGUAACAGGUCUUCGGAUGCUGACGAGUGGCGAACGGGUGAGUAAUACAUCGGAACGUGCCUAGUAGUGGGGGAUAACUACUCGAAAGAGUGGCUAAUACCGCAUGAGAUCUACGGAUGAAAGCAGGGGAUCGCAAGAACUUGUGCUACUAGAGCGGCCGAUGGCGGAUUAGGUAGUUGGUGGGAUAAAAGCUUACCAAGCCGACGAUCUGUAGCUGGUCUGAGAGGACGAUCAGCCACACUGGGACUGAGAAACGGCCCGGACUCCUACGGGAGGCAGCAGUGGGGAAUUUUGGACAAUGGGCGCAAGCCUGAUCCAGCAAUGCCGCGUGCAGGAUGAAGGCCUUCGGGUUGUAAACUGCUUUUGUACGGAACGAAAAGCCCCGGGUUAAUACCCUGGGGUCAUGACGGUACCGUAAGAAUAAGCACCGGCUAACUACGUGCCAGCCGCCGCGGUAA